Molecule: ribosomal RNA, 406 nt
Filed under: uncultured bacterium
Lineage: Bacteria
Description: bacterial SSU rRNA
Rfam family: Bacterial small subunit ribosomal RNA
Source: RNAcentral
UGGGGGAUAUUGCACAAUGGGGGAAACCCUGAUGCAGCGACGCCGCGUGAGGGAAGAAGGUCUUCGGAUUGUAAACCUCUGUUUUUGGUGAAGAAUAGAUGACGGUAGCCAAAGAGGAAGCCACGGCUAACUACGUGCCAGCAGCCGCGGUAAUACGUAGGUGGCGAGCGUUGUCCGGAAUUACUGGGUGUAAAGGGUGCGUAGGCGGGACUGCAAGUUGGAUGUGAAAUACCGGGGCUUAACCCCGGGGCUGCAUCCAAAACUGUAGUUCUUGAGUGAAGUAGAGGUAGGCGGAAUUCCGAGUGUAGCGGUGAAAUGCGUAGAUAUUCGGAGGAACACCAGUGGCGAAGGCGGCCUACUGGGCUUUAACUGACGCUGAGGCACGAAAGCGUGGGGAGCAAACAGG